AUCUACCAGAGUACUAUGAAUAUUAAAAAUUUAAAACUCAAAGAGCUUGGCGGUGCUUUAGACCUUUUAGGGGAACCUGUCUUAUAAUCGACAAUCCACGUCAUACCUAACCUUUUUUUGCAUACAGUUUGUAUACCGUCGUCGUCAGGUAACUUUUAAAAAUCUAAUAGUUAGCAGAUAAACUGGACAAUAAGUUUAAACGUCAGAUCAAGGUGCAACUAAUAAAAAGGUUAAGAUGGGUUACAAUUAUAUUAAUAAUAAUACGGAAAAUUGGCUGAAAUACCAUUAUGAAGGAGGACUUAAAAGUAAAAGAUAUUUAUAUAUAUAUAACUUGAAUAAGGCUCUGAAGCGUGC
This 354-nucleotide ribosomal RNA is filed under the name Orphanopusia patriarchalis. RNAcentral's name for it is "partial 12S ribosomal RNA". Lineage: Eukaryota; Metazoa; Mollusca; Gastropoda; Neogastropoda; Costellariidae. The record is from RNAcentral.